GUGUUCCUAGAAUUCCUCUAACCAUUUCAGUAAGGAAUUCAUCAUUUAUAUGGAUUCUCCUUAUUGAAGUGUUUGGGGGAACUCCAGGAAUCAC
Molecule: non-coding RNA, 94 nt
Organism: Lupinus albus (white lupine)
Lineage: Eukaryota; Viridiplantae; Streptophyta; Magnoliopsida; Fabales; Fabaceae
Source: the annotation of a GenBank genome assembly